GACGUAGGGCGCAAGCGUUGUCCGGAUUUAUUGGGCGUAAAGAGCUCGUAGGCGGCUUGUUGCGUCGACCGUGAAAACCCGUGGCUCAACUGCGGGCUUGCGGUCGAUACGGGCGGGCUAGAGUUCGGUAGGGGAGACUGGAAUUUACGGUGUAGCAGUGAAAUGCGUAGAUAUCGUAAGGAAGACCAGUGGCGAAGGCGAGUCUCUGGACAGCAACUGACGCUGAGGCACGAAGGCCAGGGGAGCAAACGGG
This 253-nucleotide ribosomal RNA is filed under the name uncultured bacterium. RNAcentral's name for it is "partial 16S ribosomal RNA". It matches the Rfam family "Bacterial small subunit ribosomal RNA", at positions 524 to 776 of the family's 1533-position model. The record is from RNAcentral.